GGGCGAUUGGCACAGGGGUAGCGCACAUCCUUCACACGGAUGGGGUCACUGGUUCAAAUCCAGUAUCGCCCAC
Molecule: transfer RNA, 73 nt
Filed under: Nostoc cf. commune SO-36
Lineage: Bacteria; Bacillati; Cyanobacteriota; Cyanophyceae; Nostocales; Nostocaceae
Description: tRNA-Val
Rfam family: tRNA
About the family: Transfer RNA (tRNA) molecules are approximately 80 nucleotides in length.
Source: RNAcentral